GCCCGAGUGGCGGAAUCGGCAGACGCAAGGGACUUAAAAUCCCUCGGUUGAACAAACCGUAUCGGUUCAAGUCCGAUCUCGGGCACCA
Molecule: transfer RNA, 88 nt
Filed under: Candidatus Scatousia excrementigallinarum
Lineage: Bacteria
Description: tRNA-Leu
Rfam family: tRNA
About the family: Transfer RNA (tRNA) molecules are approximately 80 nucleotides in length. Their secondary structure includes four short double-helical elements and three loops (D, anti-codon, and T loops).
Source: RNAcentral